CCAUAGUAUAUACGUAAUAAUUAUCGGGCGAUAUUAUAUAUUUUGUUUUCUAAACGAAUUUCUCCCUUAAUUUCCUUAGUUUCCUUAUUAUUUCUUGUCUACGCAAACGAGCGGUGUCAACAUUGUAUAGUGUUUCUGCGGGUGGUGUAUGUAUUCGCCAAGUAUAUUGGCCGUUUCUUUGACUCGUGACACGUUUGCCGACAACCGCCUGGCAUGCUUUUUGU
Non-coding RNA from Cinara cedri, 224 nucleotides. Lineage: Eukaryota; Metazoa; Arthropoda; Insecta; Hemiptera; Aphididae. The record is from the annotation of a GenBank genome assembly.